RNAcentral lists this unclassified non-coding RNA (1650 nucleotides) under Leishmania donovani. RNAcentral's name for it is "gene:unknown". Lineage: Eukaryota; Euglenozoa; Kinetoplastea; Trypanosomatida; Trypanosomatidae. The record is from RNAcentral.
GCACACAUUGUGCAGCUGGCCGCCUGUCUCUCAUAGAGCGCCGCGUACACGCAAACGUGCGUUCAUAACUUCCGACACCCACCGCCUCCGGCGCUCGUGCCCCCAGUUUCCGAACUUGGCGAGGCCGUGCGCACACCUCUCUCUCUCUGCCGGGUGACCCCGUUGCGAUGAGCACUUUUGAAUCCGUCCUUUUCACCAAUGGGCUCAUGGUUAAUCACAGGCACUACUACACUUACGACGCUUCCGCGAAGCGCCUGCCGUGCACCUACGUUUUUCCCACCGGAUACUGUUAUCGCCGCACGCCCAGUGCCUCAUUCUGUGGCAUCACCUGCAAGAUCAUUAUUGGCAGCGUCUUGGGCGGCCUCGCGCUUCUGUGCCUGGCUGUCCUCGUUGUGUACCACUUCCGCCGCCGCAAGACUACGCAGCAGCCAAGCACUGAGGUGGCUCACAUUUCGAGCACUAACCAGCCGGGCCCUGCACAGACUGUACCUCCUCCACAGCAGCCGAUGUUUGGCGGCAGAGACUACGCGGGCGCGGCUGGCUACGACCGCGCCUCGCUGCCGAUGCCGCCUGCUUUCCCUGGCAAUGGUGUAGCGCCCCUCGGUCACGUGUCCAACACGUACGUCCCUGCUCCGACAGGCUAUGGCUAUCAGCCAUACCCACCGCAGCUUGGCUACCCAUUGGCGACCACGCAGGCCACGGAUGGUGUUUACGUGGGAGGGGCCACGUACUAUGCACGCGCGCGGGCGGCAGAAGACACCGCGGCUGCUUUCUCCGCGUCGAGCAGCGGCUACCCCCACCCGGAGAAGGAGGCGUCGUGAUCCAUCUUCGAGCUACUGCCGACGCUUAUAGAACGCAUGUCGCCAUGGCUGCUCGUGUGUCUGUGGUUUCCGCCACUGGAUGAGUGUUGCAGUGCGGUGACUCAGUCCUCGCUUCUGGGCCUUCUCCAGCCUACUGUCGCUAAGCAACGAAUGGCAAUAUCCGAGGUCUGGCCGCAGGUGAAGGCUUCAAAGAGCUGUGCCCAUUCCUGUGCUUCUUCGCUUGAUGGCAUAUGUGUUGCUCGCCCUUUUUUGUGGCUUUUCGGUGUGUUGUUGACUCCUACGCACCCCCUUCCCUCUCUACGUUUGGGUUCGUCGCGAUUUGUUUACUUACUCCGCUGAGCGGGUUCGUUUUGUCCCGCCUCCCGCAUGUGCCUCUCCUUUCCCUCUCCUCCUUUCUGUGUGUGGGUGUUUUGCUUCCCGUUUUCGCUUUUGCUUUAUAUCUUCGGCACUGUCCCGGCCCCUGCGUCUCUCUCUCUUCCGUCUUCUCCUUCAUCCGCGCACGUGCGCACAUACACAUGGGUGCCAGUCAGCCGGCACGUGCAUCUGAGCAUAUGCUGAUCAUACUUCCUUUCAUCUGUCUUGUUCCUGUCAGCUACUCAUCUCUUUUGGUGGUCAAGUGCGAGGACUCCGCAUGUGCGCAUGCAGCAUCCGUUUUUCUCUGCCUUUCUCCCUCCGUAUCUUGAGCCCUUGCCUGUCCCCCGUGCCUCUCUCUCGUUGCGUGCGCUCUUUUGUUUUCGCGAUUCCGCCCUCUGCCAUUCCCCCACCUCGCCCGAUCCUCUACCGCACACCGCACUCCCCGUGCUUCCCCUUCACCUUCCUCGCUGAGCAG